AGAAGAACUAGGAGUUCCGAUUUGCUAGCAUGAAAAAUAACUUUCCUGAAGUAACUAUUGUGUUUCCCUUUCUUACCAUAGUUUGGACACCUUUAAGCCCCUCGAAGCUGGUGAGAUUACGUCAGAAGACGGAGGUGACUAAAAUAUAAGGGAAAAAAAUAACUUCAGAGUGUCCCAGUUCCCCAGAGUAUCUGCCUAAUGGACCACGAACUGGAUGGGAGACUGCAGAAGGGCUGCUGUUCAAAAGCAGGAUGACUCCAAUGUAUGCCACCGUGAGGAUGCUUCCAGCACCCUCCCAGCUAACCUGAAAGAAACUAGGAUGAGUGCCAGCCCCUGCUUUCAUUUCCCAGUUCUGAAAUGGCUAUGUAUGUCACAACCUGUGAGUCUGGAAACUCAGCACUCUCGACAGGGAACAGGUCUUCCCUGGUUGCUUCUGGGGCUGCUGGCCUUGGGGAUCUCUGCUAACCUCCCCAGGAAACUAUCUGCGGGCAAGAGUUUCUCUUUUGAUGCAGUUGUGGUUUUGCAAGUCUGUCUCUUUAGGAUUCUGAGACUGCAACCAGCUGUGGAAUGUGAUCAAGUGAUGGGAUCCUGAGAUGGAGAGGAAAGAGACAAUAGAACUACCAAAAUGGAAAAAGGUUAGUAUUUUCCAUAUUCAUUAAUGGCUUACUUGAGUU
This 674-nucleotide long non-coding RNA is filed under the name Ornithorhynchus anatinus (platypus). RNAcentral describes it as "lncRNA (ENSOANG00000035261.2)". Lineage: Eukaryota; Metazoa; Chordata; Mammalia; Monotremata; Ornithorhynchidae. The record is from RNAcentral.